CCAGAAGCGCUGCGCCGUUCCGUCCUCCCCCUGUCCCUGCAGGCCGACCUCGGCCUACUGCAACUAUCAGCUGACAGGCUCCUCUCCCUGGCGCUCCAUGUACCCUCCUGCCUGGCGCUUUCCCCGCGCCGUUCCCUGCUGACUCCAGGUCUGGGGUUGUGUAUAACGCCUGGGCGCCCCUGGGAGGUGCACCUGCGGUCCCCCCGUAUCCUCCUAACCCCAGCG
Molecule: non-coding RNA, 225 nt
Organism: Pelobates cultripes (western spadefoot toad)
Lineage: Eukaryota; Metazoa; Chordata; Amphibia; Anura; Pelobatidae
Source: the annotation of a GenBank genome assembly